UACGGGGGGGGCAAGCGUUGUUCGGAAUUACUGGGCGUAAAGGGCGCGUAGGCGGUCUGCUAAGCGUGCGGUGAAAGCCUGGGGCUCAACCCCAGGUCUGCCGUGCGAACUGGUGAACUAGAGCACUGUAGAGGCAGGUGGAAUUCCGGGUGUAGCGGUGGAAUGCGUAGAGAUCCGGAAGAACACCGGUGGCGAAGGCGGCCUGCUGGGCAGUUGCUGACGCUGAGGCGCGACAGCGUGGGGAGCAAACAGG
RNAcentral lists this ribosomal RNA (253 nucleotides) under uncultured bacterium. Its description in RNAcentral is "partial 16S ribosomal RNA". It matches the Rfam family "Bacterial small subunit ribosomal RNA", at positions 524 to 776 of the family's 1533-position model. The record is from RNAcentral.